Molecule: ribosomal RNA, 253 nt
Filed under: uncultured bacterium
Lineage: Bacteria
Description: partial 16S ribosomal RNA
Rfam family: Bacterial small subunit ribosomal RNA
Source: RNAcentral
UACGGAGGGUGCUAGCGUUGUUCGGACUUACUGGGCGUAAAGGGCGCGUAGGCGGUGCCCGAAGUCGGCUGUGAAAGCCCGGGGCUCAAACCCGGAACGGCAGCCGAGACUCGGGCGCUGGAGACCGGGAGAGGAGGGUUGAAUACCCAGUGUAGAGGUGAAAUUCGUAGAUAGUGGGUGGAACACCGGUGGCGAAAGCGGCUCUCUGGCCAGGUUUUGACGCUGAGGCGCGAAAGCGUGGGGAGCAAACAGG